GUCGAGAAUCUUUCACAAUGGGGGCAACCCUGAUGGAGCGACGCCGCGUGGAGGAUAAGGUCUUCGGAUUGUAAACUCCUGUCAUGCGUGAACAAGGUUGCUUGGUUAAUACCUGGGCAAAUUGAUGGUAACGCAAGAGGAAGAGACGGCUAACUCUGUGCCAGCAGCCGCGGUAAUACAGAGGUCUCAAGCGUUGUUCGGAAUCACUGGGCGUAAAGGGUGCGUAGGUGGCGUGGUAAGUCAGAUGUGAAAGCCCGGGGCUCAACCUCGGGACUGCAUCCGAUACUGCCAUGCUAGAGUACUGGAGAGGUGACUAGAAUUCUCGGUGUAGCAGUGAAAUGCGUAGAUAUCGAGAGGAAUACCAAAGGCGUAGGCAGGUCACUGGACAGUUACUGACACUGAGGCACGAAGGCCAGGGGAGCGAACGGGAUUAGAUACCCGUGUAGUCC
Molecule: ribosomal RNA, 449 nt
Filed under: uncultured bacterium
Lineage: Bacteria
Description: partial 16S ribosomal RNA
Rfam family: Bacterial small subunit ribosomal RNA
Source: RNAcentral